GACGAACGCUGGCGGCGUGCUUAACACAUGCAAGUCGAACGGAAAGGCCCUGCUUGCAGGGUACUCGAGUGGCGAACGGGUGAGUAACACGUGGGUGAUCUGCCCUGCACUUCGGGAUAAGCUUGGGAAACUGGGUCUAAUACCGGAUAGGAACCAUCUUUAGUGUGGUGGUUGGAAAGUUUUUUCGGUGUAGGAUGAGCUCGCGGCCUAUCAGCUUGUUGGUGGGGUAAUGGCCUACCAAGGCGGCGACGGGUAGCCGGCCUGAGAGGGUGUACGGCCACAUUGGGACUGAGAUACGGCCCAGACUCCUACGGGAGGCAGCAGUGGGGAAUAUUGCACAAUGGGCGCAAGCCUGAUGCAGCGACGCCGCGUGGGGGAUGAAGGCCUUCGGGUUGUAAACUCCUUUCGCUAGGGACGAAGCUUUUUGUGACGGUACCUAGAGAAGAAGCACCGGCUAACUACGUG
This 465-nucleotide ribosomal RNA is filed under the name uncultured bacterium. RNAcentral's name for it is "partial 16S ribosomal RNA". It matches the Rfam family "Bacterial small subunit ribosomal RNA", at positions 28 to 507 of the family's 1533-position model. The record is from RNAcentral.